Molecule: non-coding RNA, 29 nt
Filed under: Rattus norvegicus (Norway rat)
Lineage: Eukaryota; Metazoa; Chordata; Mammalia; Rodentia; Muridae
Source: RNAcentral
UCCACUUGUUUUGGUCUCAAUUACUUGUA